RNAcentral lists this ribosomal RNA (724 nucleotides) under uncultured organism. RNAcentral's name for it is "bacterial SSU rRNA". It matches the Rfam family "Bacterial small subunit ribosomal RNA", at positions 72 to 795 of the family's 1533-position model. The record is from RNAcentral.
AGGCCCUUCGGGGGUCACGAGCGGCGAACGGGUGAGUACGCAGUGGGUAUCUGCCUGGAAGUGGGGGAUAGCCGCGGGAAACCGGGGAUAAUACCGCAUAUGUCCGCGAGGACAAAGAUGGGGAUCUUCGGACCUGUCGCUUCCGGAUGAGCCCGCGUCCGAUUAGCUUGUUGGUGGGGUAAUGGCCCACCAAGGCCACGAUCGGUAGCCGGCCUGAGAGGGUGAGCGGCCACAUUGGGACUGAGACACGGCCCAGACUCCUACGGGAGGCAGCAGUGGGGAAUUUUGGGCAAUGGGGGCAACCCUGACCCAGCGACGCCACGUGGAGGAUGACGGCCUUCGGGUUGUAAACUCCUGUCAGGUGGGAAGAACUCCUGUUGGUGAAUAGCCUUCAGGUCUGACUGUACCACCAAAGGAAGCCCCGGCUAACUCCGUGCCAGCAGCCGCGGUAAUACGGAGGGGGCAAGCGUUAUUCGGAUUUACUGGGCGUAAAGCGCACGUAGGUGGCAAGGCAAGUCGAAGGUGAAAGCCCCCGGGUCAACCGGGGAGGUGCCUUUGAAACUGUUUUGCUUGAGUCCGGGAGGGGGGAGCAGAAUUCCCAGUGUAGCGGUGAACUGCGUAGAUACUGGGAGGAAUACCGGUGGCGAAAGCGGCUCCCUGGACCGGUACUGACACUGAGGUGCGAAAGCGUGGGUCACAAACAGGAUUAGAUACCCUGGUAGUC